AACGAACGCUGGCGGCAGGCCUAACACAUGCAAGUCGAGCGAGGACUUCGGUCCUAGCGGCGGACGGGUGAGUAACGCGUGGGAACGUGCCCUUUGCUUCGGAAUAGCCCUGGGAAACUGGGCGUAAUACCGGAUGAGCCCUUUGGGGGAAAGAUUUGGCGGCGGGGGAUCGGCCCGCGUUGGAUUAGGUAGUUGGUGGGGUAGUGGCCUACCAAGCCGACGAUCGGUAGCUGGUUUGAUAGGAUGAUCGGCCACACUGGGAGUGAGACACGGCCCAGACUCAUACGGGAGGGAGGAGUGGGGAAGAGAGUAGAAGGGGCGGGGGAAAGAUGCAGCAACGCCGCGUGCGGGAUGAAGGAAGGCGGGUUGUGUAGAAAAUUCGCCUGUGACGAAGAGAGAAUGACGGUAAAGGGUAAAGAAGCCCCGGCUAACUCCGUG
This 438-nucleotide ribosomal RNA is filed under the name uncultured bacterium. Its description in RNAcentral is "partial 16S ribosomal RNA". It matches the Rfam family "Bacterial small subunit ribosomal RNA", at positions 29 to 507 of the family's 1533-position model. The record is from RNAcentral.